This 400-nucleotide ribosomal RNA is filed under the name uncultured bacterium. RNAcentral describes it as "bacterial SSU rRNA". It matches the Rfam family "Bacterial small subunit ribosomal RNA", at positions 29 to 429 of the family's 1533-position model. The record is from RNAcentral.
AAUGAACGCUGGCGGCGUGUCUUAAGCAUGCAAGUCGUGCGGCAAGGGUAGCAAUACCCCUAGAGCGGCGGACUGGUGAGUAACGCAUGGGUGAUCUGCCCUUGGGAUGGGGAUAGCCACUAGAAAUAGUGGGUAAUACCGAAUACGUUCACACUUUCGGAGGUGUGAGGAAAAGCGCUUCGGCGCUGCCCGAGGAUGAGCCCGUGCCCCAUUAGCUAGUUGGUGAGGUAACGGCCCACCAAGGCGAUGAUGGGUAGGCGGCCUGAGAGGGUGUACGCCCACACUGGGACUGAGACACGGCCCAAACUCCUACGGGAGGCAGCAGUGGGGAAUCUUCCGCAAUGGACGAAAGUCUGACGGAGCAACGCCGCGUGAGUGAAGAAGGUUUUCGAAUCGUAAA